This 1714-nucleotide ribosomal RNA is filed under the name Burkholderia ubonensis. RNAcentral's name for it is "bacterial LSU rRNA". It matches the Rfam family "Bacterial large subunit ribosomal RNA", at positions 1222 to 2925 of the family's 2925-position model. Lineage: Bacteria; Pseudomonadati; Pseudomonadota; Betaproteobacteria; Burkholderiales; Burkholderiaceae. The record is from RNAcentral.
CGCAUGGUAGGAGAGCGUUCCGUAAGCCUGCGAAGGUGCCUUGUAAAGGGUGCUGGAGGUAUCGGAAGUGCGAAUGCUGACAUGAGUAGCGAUAAAGGGGGUGAAAGGCCCCCUCGCCGUAAGCCCAAGGUUUCCUACGCAACGUUCAUCGGCGUAGGGUGAGUCGGCCCCUAAGGCGAGGCAGAAAUGCGUAGCUGAUGGGAAGCAGGUCAAUAUUCCUGCACCGUCGUUAGAUGCGAUGGGGGGACGGAUCGCGGAAGGUUGUCCGGGUGUUGGAAGUCCCGGUCGCUGCAUUGGAGAAGGCGCUUAGGCAAAUCCGGGCGCAGGAUUCAAGGGUGUGGCGCGAGCGACUUAGGUCGCGAAGCAAUUGGAAGUGGUUCCAAGAAAAGCCUCUAAGCUUCAGUCUAACGAUGACCGUACCGCAAACCGACACAGGUGGGCGAGAUGAGUAUUCUAAGGCGCUUGAGAGAACUCGGGAGAAGGAACUCGGCAAAUUGGUACCGUAACUUCGGGAUAAGGUACGCCCUUGUAGCUUGACUGGCCUGCGCCAGGAGGGUGAAGGGGUUGCAAUAAACUGGUGGCUGCGACUGUUUAAUAAAAACACAGCACUCUGCAAACACGAAAGUGGACGUAUAGGGUGUGACGCCUGCCCGGUGCCGGAAGAUUAAAUGAUGGGGUGCAAGCUCUUGAUUGAAGUCCCGGUAAACGGCGGCCGUAACUAUAACGGUCCUAAGGUAGCGAAAUUCCUUGUCGGGUAAGUUCCGACCUGCACGAAUGGCGUAACGAUGGCCACACUGUCUCCUCCCGAGACUCAGCGAAGUUGAAGUGUUUGUGAUGAUGCAAUCUACCCGCGGCUAGACGGAAAGACCCCAUGAACCUUUACUGUAGCUUUGCAUUGGACUUUGAACCGAUCUGUGUAGGAUAGGUGGGAGGCUAUGAAACCGGAACGCUAGUUUCGGUGGAGCCGUCCUUGAAAUACCACCCUGGUUUGUUUGAGGUUCUAACCUUGGCCCGUGAUCCGGGUCGGGGACAGUGCAUGGUAGGCAGUUUGACUGGGGCGGUCUCCUCCCAAAGCGUAACGGAGGAGUACGAAGGUACGCUAGGUACGGUCGGAAAUCGUGCUGAUAGUGCAAUGGCAUAAGCGUGCUUAACUGCGAGACCGACAAGUCGAGCAGGUGCGAAAGCAGGUCAUAGUGAUCCGGUGGUUCUGUAUGGAAGGGCCAUCGCUCAACGGAUAAAAGGUACUCUGGGGAUAACAGGCUGAUACCGCCCAAGAGUUCAUAUCGACGGCGGUGUUUGGCACCUCGAUGUCGGCUCAUCUCAUCCUGGGGCUGUAGCCGGUCCCAAGGGUAUGGCUGUUCGCCAUUUAAAGAGGUACGUGAGCUGGGUUUAAAACGUCGUGAGACAGUUUGGUCCCUAUCUGCCGUGGGCGUUGGAUAUUUGAAGGGGGCUGCUCCUAGUACGAGAGGACCGGAGUGGACGAACCUCUGGUGUACCGGUUGUGACGCCAGUCGCAUCGCCGGGUAGCUAUGUUCGGAAGAGAUAACCGCUGAAAGCAUCUAAGCGGGAAACUCGCCUUAAGAUGAGAUAUCCCUGGAGGCUUGACCUCCUUGAAGGGUCGUUCGAGACCAGGACGUUGAUAGGUCAGGUGUGUAAGCGCAGUAAUGCGUUCAGCUAACUGAUACUAAUUGCCCGUAAGGCUUGAUCCUAUAAC